RNAcentral lists this ribosomal RNA (1089 nucleotides) under Salmonella enterica. RNAcentral's name for it is "partial 23S ribosomal RNA". It matches the Rfam family "Bacterial large subunit ribosomal RNA", at positions 671 to 1757 of the family's 2925-position model. Lineage: Bacteria; Pseudomonadati; Pseudomonadota; Gammaproteobacteria; Enterobacterales; Enterobacteriaceae. The record is from RNAcentral.
GGGAAACCGAGUCUUAAUUGGGCGUUAAGUUGCAGGGUAUAGACCCGAAACCCGGUGAUCUAGCCAUGGGCAGGUUGAAGGUUGGGUAACACUAACUGGAGGACCGAACCGACUAAUGUUGAAAAAUUAGCGGAUGACCUGUGGCUGGGGGUGAAAGGCCAAUCAAACCGGGAGAUAGCUGGUUCUCCCCGAAAGCUAUUUAGGUAGCGCCUCGUGAAUUCAUCUCCGGGGGUAGAGCACUGUUUCGGCUAGGGGGCCAUCCCGGCUUACCAACCCGAUGCAAACUGCGAAUACCGGAGAAUGUUAUCACGGGAGACACACGGCGGGUGCUAACGUCCGUCGUGAAGAGGGAAACAACCCAGACCGCCAGCUAAGGUCCCAAAGUCAUGGUUAAGUGGGAAACGAUGUGGGAAGGCCCAGACAGCCAGGAUGUUGGCUUAGAAGCAGCCAUCAUUUAAAGAAAGCGUAAUAGCUCACUGGUCGAGUCGGCCUGCGCGGAAGAUGUAACGGGGCUAAACCAUGCACCGAAGCUGCGGCAGCGACGCUGAUGCGUUGUUGGGUAGGGGAGCGUUCUGUAAGCCUGUGAAGGUGUGUCGUGAGGCAUGCUGGAGGUAUCAGAAGUGCGAAUGCUGACAUAAGUAACGAUAAAGCGGGUGAAAAGCCCGCUCGCCGGAAGACCAAGGGUUCCUGUCCAACGUUAAUCGGGGCAGGGUGAGUCGACCCCUAAGGCGAGGCCGAAAGGCGUAGUCGAUGGGAAACGGGUUAAUAUUCCCGUACUUGGUGUUACUGCGAAGGGGGGACGGAGAAGGCUAUGUUGGCCGGGCGACGGUUGUCCCGGUUUAAGCGUGUAGGUGUGUGUUCCAGGUAAAUCCGGUUCACUUUAACACUGAGGCGUGAUGACGAGGCACUACGGUGCUGAAGCAACAAAUGCCCUGCUUCCAGGAAAAGCCUCUAAGCAUCAGGUAACAUCAAAUCGUACCCCAAACCGACACAGGUGGUCAGGUAGAGAAUACCAAGGCGCUUGAGAGAACUCGGGUGAAGGAACUAGGCAAAAUGGUGCCGUAACUUCGGGAGAAGGCACGCUGACAC